UACGGAGGGUGCAAGCGUUAAUCGGAAUUACUGGGCGUAAAGCGUGCGUAGGCGGCUUGCUAAGCCAGAUGUGAAAGCCCUGGGCUUAACCUGGGAACUGCAUUUGGAACUGGUAGGCUAGAGUUGAGUAGAGGAGAGUGGAAUUUCAGGUGUAGCGGUGAAAUGCGUAGAUAUCUGAAGGAACACCAGUGGCGAAGGCGACUCUCUGGACUCAAACUGACGCUGAGGUACGAAAGCGUGGGUAGCAAACAGG
RNAcentral lists this ribosomal RNA (253 nucleotides) under uncultured bacterium. RNAcentral describes it as "partial 16S ribosomal RNA". It matches the Rfam family "Bacterial small subunit ribosomal RNA", at positions 524 to 776 of the family's 1533-position model. The record is from RNAcentral.